GAUCAUCUGUUUUCUAAGUGAAAUCGACUAGAAAUCACGUCGAUAACUAUGUCAAGAUCUUUUUCUUUCCCAAUUUUUGUCUAUUAGAAGUAGUUUUUAUCAAUUUAAUAUUCAAAUCUAUUUCAAGUUUCAAUUAGUAAACCAACUCUUUUUUGCCUGUCAAGAAGAAGAUUGUUUCAAGAAUGAAAUUCUUCAUCUUAAUUGUCUGCCUUUUUGGAACUGUAUUUGCUCAGAGUCAUCCUGUAAAAUACAAACCGCUCCCUGUCGAUGAUUCAACUGUUAUAAAGUUAGCUAACCAAGCCGUUGCUAAAAUCAACGCAGAGGGAAAUGGUAAGUUUUACAAUAAACUGAUCGAGAUCAAAGAAGCUAGAUCUAAACUCCGCCAUUCUAAAAUUACUUAUACGAUUAAAGUAAUCUUACGAAAAACUUAUUCUCACAAAUCCAAACCGUACACUGAUGCUUGUGGAAUCAACGAUACUGCACCUCCUAAACUAUGCACCAUCGAUGCAUAUGUACGUGUUGGUUCUGACGAAAGCAAGAUCGUCAUAUUACGUUGUGAAACAAUUCAUAAGCCUGUAAAAUGAUUUUUCCAAUUUUUCUUGGUACAUGUGAUUGAAGUACAUGAUAUGGAAAAAGCUAAUUGUGCGAUUUAAGAUUAGCAGAUUUCAAAACAAAUUCGUUGUCCGGGCCAAAACGGCGGAGAUUUGAUUGUUGUUAAUUUCGAAUUGGUGGGACUUUUUUAUGAAUUUUCGGUCAGUAAUACCUGAAUAUCUAAGAAUUGUUUUGCAAUUAAUAGAGUAGAAUUAUUUGGUUUCGCUGAUAAAUUAGAACAAUCCAAGUCAAAAAUUUUUAUUUUGGCGAAAAUUCCAAAAAAUCCUAGGGUUUUCCCUAAAUCGCUAGCUUUUUUCAAUUUUUGGAUAUUUUUUGAUAAUUGAAUGAAAGUGUUUGAUUUUUUUGAAGAAAUUAAAAAACCAU
Molecule: non-coding RNA, 975 nt
Organism: Tetranychus urticae (two-spotted spider mite)
Lineage: Eukaryota; Metazoa; Arthropoda; Arachnida; Trombidiformes; Tetranychidae
Source: RefSeq, a predicted model, not a curated record